Molecule: non-coding RNA, 321 nt
Organism: Cinara cedri
Lineage: Eukaryota; Metazoa; Arthropoda; Insecta; Hemiptera; Aphididae
Source: the annotation of a GenBank genome assembly
AAUCACCGGUUUACGAUAAAACAAUCAUUCUGUAUAAACAAUUAUCCUGUUAUUACGACGACGAAGAAUUCGAUUAUUUUAUUCGUUAAGUAAUAUUGUCGACAGUUUUCUGGUAGGAUGGCUUUUAAUUGCGUACCGAUAUAAUAUACGGUCUGUAAUAUUAUUAAUAGACAUGCAUCAUCGUUAAAACUACACAUCAAAAGACGGUAUCAGACGAUCUUAUCUAUCUUGUUUGCGGGAGUUUAAAGUUAAAUGGACGACCAGAAACCACGUAUACCUGGUAUACAGGGUAGCUUUUACAAUCAUGCUUACGGUUCACUC